AUUGAACGCUGGCGGCAUGCCUUACACAUGCAAGUCGAACGGUAACGGGCCUUCGGGUGCCGACGAGUGGCGAACGGGUGAGUAAUGCAUCGGAACGUACCUUUCAGUGGGGGAUAACGUAGCGAAAGUUACGCUAAUACCGCAUAUUCUGUGAGCAGGAAAGCAGGGGAUCGCAAGACCUUGCGCUGAUUGAGCGGCCGAUGUCAGAUUAGCUAGUUGGUGAGGUAAAGGCUCACCAAGGCGACGAUCUGUAGCGGGUCUGAGAGGAUGAUCCGCCACACUGGAACUGAGACACGGUCCAGACUCCUACGGGAGGCAGCAGUGGGGAAUUUUGGACAAAUGGGGGGCAACCCUGAUCCAGCCAUGCCGCGUGAGUGAAGAAGGCCUUCGGGUUGGUUAAAGACGUCUUUCGGUCCCGGGAAGGAAAGUACGCAUGGGUUAAU
RNAcentral lists this ribosomal RNA (443 nucleotides) under uncultured bacterium. Its description in RNAcentral is "bacterial SSU rRNA". It matches the Rfam family "Bacterial small subunit ribosomal RNA", at positions 30 to 501 of the family's 1533-position model. The record is from RNAcentral.